GUAUAUAUCGGAGCAGAGCAACGAACUAGAGAAGAACAUGUACUGCUUCUCCUGAUCGGUGUUGCAUUUGCUGGCGGUGGCGUCAGCUCAGCGCGUGGCGCUGCCGGGGUGCCGGGACAGGUGCGGCAACAUCACGGUCCCCAGCCCUUUGGCAUCGGCGCCGGCUGCUACUGCGACGACCGACUCCGGGGCUUCCAGCUCGAGUGCGACGACGACACCGUCCACGCCCCACCGUCUUCGGCCGCUACAACCGCGUCGCAGGCCUCUCCUCGGCAGCGCCUACCUCUUCUCGUCCACCGAGAACCGUCUGGUGGCGCUCGGCUGCCCUAACCUCGGUUUCUUCGUCGACGCAGCCGGAUACUACGUCAUCGGCUGCAUGUCCGUGUGCCGGCCAUCCUGGUACGCCCUGCCGGGCCUGUGCACCGGCGUCGGGUGCUGCCAGAGCGCGAUACCGCCCGGGAUCAGCUUCUUCGAGCCGCACCAGCGCAAAUUCCCGCCGCACCAGGACGACAAUCCCACCUUCAUCAGCAACGCCAUGUCGUGCCACUACGUGUUCCUCGUCGACACUGAGUGGUUCACGUACAGCGACCUUGUCUUCCUCAACCACACCGACGACUUCGACAUGCCCGUCGUGCUCGACUGGGCCGUGCGGAACGUCGGCAACUGCAGCGCCGCCAGGCGCAACGCCACCGACUUCGCCUGCCGGAGCGCGCACAGCGAGUGCUUUGACGCCGACAACGGCCCCGGGUACCGGUGCAACUGCUCCAGGGGCUACGACGGCAACCCCUACCUCGACGGUGGAUGCACAGACAUCGACGACUGCCAACUGAAAGACGAAUACUCGUGCUAUGGGGUCUGCACGAACUCGCAGGGAAGUUACACUUGCCAAUGCCCUCCCGGGACAAGUGGAGAUGCCACCAGGAAGGAUGGCUGCCGGCAGAAGGACAAGUUCACAUUAGCUCUGAAGGUCGUUACAGGAGUGAGCGUGGGGGUGUUCUUGUCAGUGUUCAUGUGCUCCUGGCUCUACCUGGGGCUACAGAAGAGAAAACUCAUCAAGGCAAAGCAGAGCUUCUUCAAGCACAACGGAGGCGUCAUCCUGCAGCAGCAGACGCGUGGGGCUGCCGGGGGAGGCGGUGGCGGGUUCAAAAUAUUCUAAGAAGAGGAGCUCAAGAAGGCGACAAACAACUUCACCGCCGACCAGAUCCUCGGUCUCGGUGGCCACGACAUUGUGUACAGAGGUGUCCUGGAGGACAAUACUGUAGUGGGCGGCCAUCAAGAAGUCCAAGAUGAUGGAGGCCACCGAGACCAAGGAGUUUGCGAGGGAGAUGCUCAUCCUCUCCCAGAUCAACCACCGGAACAUCGUCAAACUGCACGGCUGCUGCCUCGAGGUGGAGGUGCCGAUGCUUGUCUAUGAGUACGUCUCCAACGGAACUCUGUACCACUACAUCCAUGGCGGCGAGGGCCUCGACAUCAACAAGGCACUCGACACCCGCCUUCGGAUAGCAGCAGAGUCUGCCGAGGCCCUGUCAUAUAUGCACUCGUCGGCCUCGCCCCCAAUCGUCCACGACGAUGUCAAGACGGCCAACAUCCUGCUCGACGGCAGCCUCGCCGCCAAAGUCUCUGACGUCGGGGCGUCGAAGCUACAACCAAGUGAUGAGGCUGAGAUUGCAACACUGGUGCAAGGGACCUGCGGGUAUCUGGACCCGGAGUACCUCAUGGCAUGCCAGCUCACAGACAAGAGUGACAUCUAUAGCUUUGGUGUUGUUCUGCUUGAACUCUUGACAGGGAAGAAGGUGUUGUGCUUUGAUGGGCCAGAGGAGGACAGGAGCCUCGUCUCCCGAUUCACGAUGGCCGUGAAAGCCGACCAGCACGACGAGCUCCUUGAUGACCAGGUGAGAACAAAGAUGGGCCCAGAGGCGUUGGAAGAAGUAACGCACCUUGUGAUGCAUUGUGUGAGCAUGAUCAGGGAGGAGCGUCCAUCAAUGAAGGAGGUUGCUGAGAAACUGGAGGCUCUAAGGAGGUACCAACGACACCCAUGGUGCCGAUCCGAAGGAGGGGCAAAGCUUGCUUGGCGAAGAGCAACAACAUGA
This 2090-nucleotide ribosomal RNA is filed under the name Triticum aestivum (bread wheat). RNAcentral describes it as "partial small subunit ribosomal RNA". Lineage: Eukaryota; Viridiplantae; Streptophyta; Magnoliopsida; Poales; Poaceae. The record is from RNAcentral.